UCUUGGUCAUUUAGAGGAAGUAAAAGUCGUAACAAGGUCUCCGUAGGUGAACCUGCGGAGGGAUCAUUACACAAAUAUGAAGGCGGGCUGGAACCUCUCGGGGUUACAGCCUUGCUGAAUUAUUCACCCUUGUCUUUUGCGUACUUCUUGUUUCCUUGGUGGGUUCGCCCACCACUAGGACAAACAUAAACCUUUUGUAAUUGCAAUCAGCGUCAGUAACAAAUUAAUAAUUACAACUUUCAACAACGGAUCUCUUGGUUCUGGCAUCGAUGAAGAACGCAGCGAAAUGCGAUAAGUAGUGUGAAUUGCAGAAUUCAGUGAAUCAUCGAAUCUUUGAACGCACAUUGCGCCCUUUGGUAUUCCAAAGGGCAUGCCUGUUCGAGCGUCAUUUGUACCCUCAAGCUUUGCUUGGUGUUGGGCGUCUUGUCUCUAGCUUUGCUGGAGACUCGCCUUAAAGUAAUUGGCAGCCGGCCUACUGGUUUCGGAGCGCAGCACAAGUCGCACUCUCUANCAGCAAAGGUCUAGCAUCCAUUAAGCCUUUUUUUCAACUUUUGACCUCGNAU
RNAcentral lists this ribosomal RNA (563 nucleotides) under Alternaria sp. JJP-2009a. Its description in RNAcentral is "eukaryotic LSU rRNA". The stretch from base 235 to 388 matches the Rfam family "5.8S ribosomal RNA". The record is from RNAcentral. Lineage: Eukaryota; Fungi; Ascomycota; Dothideomycetes; Pleosporales; Pleosporaceae.